GCCUGGGUGGCUCAGUCGGUUAAGCAUCUGACUUCAGCUCAGGUCGUGAUCUCAUGGCUUGUGAGUUCGAGCCCCGCAUCGGGCU
RNAcentral lists this transfer RNA (85 nucleotides) under Felis catus (domestic cat). It matches the Rfam family "tRNA". From Rfam's summary of the family: Transfer RNA (tRNA) molecules are approximately 80 nucleotides in length. Their secondary structure includes four short double-helical elements and three loops (D, anti-codon, and T loops). RNAcentral also lists the same sequence under 1 other name. Lineage: Eukaryota; Metazoa; Chordata; Mammalia; Carnivora; Felidae. The record is from Rfam by way of RNAcentral.